This 576-nucleotide ribosomal RNA is filed under the name uncultured eukaryote. Its description in RNAcentral is "SSU rRNA". It matches the Rfam family "Eukaryotic small subunit ribosomal RNA", at positions 174 to 758 of the family's 1831-position model. The record is from RNAcentral.
UAAAAACCCCGACUCCGGAAGGGGUGUAUUUAUUAGAUACAAAACCAAUGCCCUUCGGGGCUCUUUGGUGAUUCAUGAUAACUAUACGAAUCGCACGGCCUUGCGCCGGCGAUGGUUCAUUCAAAUUUCUUCCCUAUCAACUUUCGAUGUUUGGGUAUUGGCCAAACAUGGUUGCAACGGGUAACGGAGGGUUAGGGCUCGACCCCGGAGAAGGAGCCUGAGAAACGGCUACUACAUCCAAGGAAGGCAGCAGGCGCGCAAAUUACCCAAUCCCGACUCGGGGAGGUAGUGACAAUAAAUACUGAUACAGGGCCCUUUCGGGCCUUGUAAUUGGAAUGAGUACAAUUUAAAUCCCUUAACGAGGAACAAUUGGAGGGCAAGUCUGGUGCCAGCAGCCGCGGUAAUUCCAGCUCCAAUAGCGUAUAUUAAAGUUGUUGUGGUUAAAAAGCUCGUAGUUGAACCUUGGGCCUGGCUGGCCGGUCCGCCUCACCGCGUGCACUGGUCCGGCCGGGCCUUUCCCUCUGUGGAACCCCAUACCCUUCACUGGGCGUGGCGGGGAAACAGGACAUUUACUUU